CACAGUUGUUAUGAGUUUCAUGGGAGAUUUACUGAUUCCUUCUGCAGAUAUCUCAUUUUCCUGCUGAUACGACUGCCUGCUUUCCUCGCAGUAAAUCUUUAUUAUCUCACUUUACUUCUCCAUUUUCUCCUUCCUUUCUAGUCACGCUGGCUGCUGCCGUUUUUCCCCCUGAACUUCGCUGAGACCUGCUUCUCUAUCCCUGUGCUGUGUGUCCACACCUAGAUACGCUGCUAUCAUGUCUACUCAUUCAUUUACGUUUGCACACAAGCCUUCCUGACUUUCUUGCAUCCGCCCUCCAGAGACACCACCAUUUUGCUGGAAAGGACCACCUUGUGGUAGCACCAGGCAUAUAUUUCUCCCCUUUCUCUCCAGUGCUUCCUGCUCUUUCCCUUUAAAACAUUUCUUUGCUGAAGCAGCUAAGUGGUUGCACAACAUAAUCCUGUAUAAAGCUGGCAGAAAUGCUCUUUCAGAGCAUUUUUGUUUAACUCUUUCCUGUCCAUUUUAUGCAGGUUUCAAAGGCCCAUGAGUAAUCUUUUAAGGAAUUGUCACUACACAUACAUCUUUUAGGAUCUAUGGGUUCCUGUAGAUUUUGCACCAUAUAUUUUUCUUUGUUUCUACAUUGUCCCCAAAGCUGACCACAAUGGACUUGGACUACAUCAUUGGCCUGUAUGCAUGUCCCCCUGGCUUCUGGGCUUGGUUCAGAAUAUGAGAGACACUGGCAGCAAGGGAGGACACUAAAGCAGGAUUUAUUGUCCUGCUUCUCUCCCUGUGGGGUUUGCUUUAGGCUGGCAGCAUCACAGUUGCCAGAGCUCCUAUGCUACACAAAACUGUCUCCAUGGAACUGCACACUUUGGGUUCUGUAAUUGCUUCCUCCCUUUACCCUCUGGUAUGGAUUCCUUUUGUGUUAUUUUCCAAGCUCUGACCUACCCCUGUCUGGUCUCCCCAAAUCCUGCUCACACUCCUGGAGAUGAAUCUCAUUACUUAACCCUCAUCAGAGUUAUUGCAAUGGUGACAUCAGCCUCUUGAACUGACUGAUGCAGCCAUCAGUGUGUCAAGCAGUUAGGUACGGUUGUUGCCUUCAGGGAACCUGAGUUGUACAAUGAAACCAACCAUGCACACACGUAAGUGAAUUGGGAUUUAUGGGACUUAUGACGGAAGCAGAUGCAAGGCACAGACAAGCACAAGAAAGAAGUUGAUUGGUUCUGUGGGGAACAGUGUCAGAGAGGACUUCCUGGAGUAAUGCUUGAAAGAUAUCUGAAAAGAUGAGCUUGUUAUCAAGGACUGAUGAAAGGCAGGGCUGGGGCUGGGGCAGAAAGGCCAGUCUGGAAGGAAAGUGGAAGUAAUGCAGCCAGAGUCCAUGGGGCAUGACCAUGUGUGCAGAUGGCUGCUAACUCACUACAACCAGAGCUUCCAGGAGAAGAAGAGCAUGAAUGAGUCCAGAGAAGCCUAAAGAUCUCAGACAGUGUGAUAUAUCCUACUAAAGAAUUUGAACAUUGUUCUGCAUGCCACGGGGACCCCAGAAAAUUGUUCCUUAGAAAGGGAAGAAAUAAGUUUUGUCUUUAGACAAACAACUUUGGUGACACCAACAUUCAUUUGAAGGGGAAUAAAUUGGACAUGCAAAGAAGAGCACAGAGACAAGAGGUAAGGGGCUGGUGGGAGUAUGAUGAUGCAGAGAUGUGGAGAAGGAAGACCCGGUAAUGCCAGUCCGGGUCCUGGAGUGGAGGAGAAGGGAAAAGACAGCCUCGCAGGAGGCCCUGUUCCUGGGAUGCUGGUUGGUAGUGUCUUUUCUCAUGACACUUCUGGUACACAGGAAGGAUAGGUACUGAGGUGAAACUUAAUAGUGAGUUCGCUUUAGGGGUGAGCUAUCAGCAGAAGCACCAUAUGCAGAAACAAGUUCAGAAAAAGCUCUGGGCUGAGGGUAAGCAUGUGAGCAUCACCUCAAAGUGUGUGCUGCUGCUGCGCACACGUGGCUGGCAUUUCUUGGGAAGGCAGUUGCUUCAUAAGGCAACAAGGAGAGCACCAGCAAAACUUAAGCAAUAAAUUAAAAAUAACCAGUUAUUUAAUAAAGAGCACACCAGGCAUUUCAUAGUUACUCUUUUAUGUACCUUAUUAGAUCUUCACCACAUCUGAGGGUUAUGGGAAUCUUAUUUUUUUAAAUCUCACAAAUGAGGCACUCUGGGGUAGAAAGAUUGGGAGAUUUCAUAGCCGCACACAGUCGUAGAAAUGGGACAAGAAUUCAGACCUUUCACUUUGUUCCUGUACAUCGUACCGCUUCCUUAUUGCUUUAUUUUAGCAAUCUUUAUGAAUAGAAGGCAAGAAAUAAAAAAUAGGAAAAAUAUACACACAGGACUUUUGGGAAACAUAGGAAAUGGCCGUAGCAAUGACAAUGCCUGUCUGUAAUGUGCCACUGUUUAGAUCAUUUUAUUUUGAAGAAUGUAACUAUUUAUUUCACAUGUUUGGAAACUGUUCUUCAAAUUCCAUUUCUCUAAUUUUAAGGUUUUAUUUUAUUUCUCCAGCUCGGUACCUAGAUUUUAAAGAUUAUUUUAAUUAAAAGAUUUAUGUAAUUGGCAUAUAAUAAUUGCAUUCACUUAUAGGGUAGAUUGUGAUGUUCUGAGAAACCUGCUUUGUCCUUUCUUAGCUCACUGUGAUUGCUGGUGUUGCAUUUUCUCACUAUCAUUAGACCAUCUCUCCAAUGUAGGCCACAAUCGAUGAGUUAAAAGAAUUCAGGCUCUCAGAGUGGAGUUCUUCUUGCAGAGCUGGCAUGGUUUUCCUUAUAGCUCACUAUUACACAGAGGGAUGAUUCUGAAAUCAAAUUGGAAAUAGGAAAGGGCAUUUGUACAAGGGCUGUGCUCCACAUUUCCACAGUAGUUUCCUGAAUUGUAAUCUAAAGCUGUGAACUGGAAAUGCUUUGUGAAGAAAAAUGCAAAGAUAAGAGUCCUUAGAUUAAUGUUAAUGCUAUGCAUUAUGCAACAUGACCCAUGCACUAGAAUAUUCUUAUUAGAUAGAUGAUGCCAAUAUAUAAUAAAUUAUGGCUGACUUUCACAGAAAUUACUGGAUAGAUUCAUGACUUACUAAAGAAACAGAGUUUAUCAGGAAGGCCCUUCUACAUGCCCUUGUGCCACUGUCUGACUAACUUGCUGAAACACUAAUAUUUCCUUUAGAGAAACAAAUUGAAUAAGAGGGGACCUACAAUGUGGACCUGCUCCCUCUCUGGAUGAGAAGAAAUGAAUCAUGUAGAAUGCUGCCAUCAUCAAAUUAGAUGCAGAUUUUUCCAAUUUGAUGGGAAGAGGAUAAGGAAGCUCUUUUUCUGAUUGCUUCUAUUUUCUUAAUGAAACAGAAAACAAAGUCACAAUCUGAGUGGAGGGGUGUUAAGAAGGGGUGGGUACAUGAAAGAGAAUGGAGUAGGGCAGAAUGCAGAAAAGUAGAUCUGAAAGACAACAGGAAGAUACUUUGCCUGGAGAGAUGCAGUAGGUUUCACAGCCUUGGGGAGGGCUCCCUUGAUGUCUGUGGACAUUGAUUAAACUUGUCAACUGGGCUGUGAACUUUCCUCAUCCAUGUUCACCAGCAGCAUUGUAAAUUCAUGUAAGUAGAGAAUCAGGCUUAAACAAUAGUAACUGUGGGAAGGCAGGGGGACCAUAGACCUGUGUUUAUGUAAUUAGUUAUCAUCAGGGUCCUAUAUUGCGGAAUCUAAGCUAGUUAAGAGGGAAGAGAAAAUGAGGAGAUCGUAGACAGUACAAAUGGGAAUUGUUGAUUGAUUAAAGAGGUGGUGAAUUCAAAGAAUUGUUGGCAUGGGAUUUCCUAAGGGAAGACAUGGAUUACACAAAUAUCUUAAAUUUUAAAACUUCCAAACAAGAAAAAUAGAAAGGCAAAUGAUCUUGAUGUUAAUAGUUUAGCUGGGAAUACUAUAGCAAAAAGUAUGCAGGGCACAGCAAGGACAUGGAUAUGUUCUUUUGCUAAAUGUCUAAUGGUAUGGUUUGAAUCUGGGGUGGCCCCCAUAAACCUCAUGUGUGUGAAGGCUGAUAGGGUCAUGAGGUGCCAUGCUCAUCCCUAGAUUGAUCCAUCGAUGAGCUUGGCAACUGAGUGUGCUAUUGGAAGGCGGGGUUGAGAUGCAUCACUGGGAACUGACUUAGAAGGGUGCAUCUCCCUCUCCAGCUCCUCCCUUUUCUCUUUACUUCCUGGCUACCAUGACGUGAGCAGCUCUCUUCCGCUGGGCCCUUCUGCCAUGCCCUUCCUGCCUUGGAAUGGACAGCUAUGGGCUGAAAUGUCUAAAGGCCAUGAGCCCAAGUAAACCUCUCCACUUUGAAUUGUGGGUAUCAGGUAAAUUUUGCACCAGUGACAAGAAAAUGACUAAGACAUCUAAUAAAUUAGCUUAAAGUACAUAUUUCAACAGUAUUUUCUUAAUUAUUUGCUAAACAACUUGAAUUUGCUUCAUGCAUGUGAAUUCAUGGACAUCUCAGAUUUUAUAUGAUUUUCAUGCUGUAUAUCUGCCACAUUCAGAGGCACUAGUGCACUUGAAGCAUCUAUUUAAAUGGCUCUCAUUUCAGAGAAUGGCAGGUAAAGGAGAAUUCUGAGAAUGCUGGAGAGACUAAGCUGGUCCUGCCUGCGACUUGGAAUGAAUUAGGAAAUGUACCUUCUCUGCAGAUGCAGAGCACAAAGGCUCCAGAAGCAAAAGGAAGCUCCAGAAAGAAAGGAAACUGCUCCCCUUUCUGCUGAUAGGAGACCCAGCACCAGGACUCGCAGCCUGGGUGUUGGAGGACUGGUCCUUGUAAGCCUGCUUGUCUCUUGCAUGCGUGUCCUUGUGCAGUGCACAAGCUGCCUCACUCCUCAGAGCCACCCUGUUCAAAUAACUCUGAAGAUUAAGGAUUGUCAACUGUGUGUAACUGGAGACCAGAUUAGUGAAGUCUGUGGCUAAGACGAGACACCUGUAAGCAACAAAGCUGAAAGAGGUAGAGCAUUCCCCCUGCAAGGCCAGUGUUCUUCCAGGAAGCCCACUCCCUUCAGGGUGGCUCACCAGAUACCAGAUGGGGCCACGCCUCUGCAUGGGAGGCAAAGGGGCCCUCACCGUGCGGACACAGACACAGUAACCAAGCCAGACUUCUGCCUUCACGUUUCGAUUUUGCUCAACAAUCAAACUGAGUAAUAACUGUGUGCUCUGCAAUAUUUUCACAAACUGUCUGUGGUAAAACUUCUCAAGGCAGUGCAGCAUACCCAGCAGGCUGUAGUUGUCUUGUUUUAAAGUUAACAGAUAAAAUCGUACAUGUGUAUUGUGUGUUACACAACAUUUUCGAGUGUAUAUACAUUGUGGAAUGAAUAGAUAUAACAUACACCUUACCUCUCAUAAUUAUCCUUUAUUUUUGUGGAGAAUACUCUUGUUAUCCAUUCUCUUAGAAUUUUUCAAGAAUCCAGUUUAUUGUCAUUUUCUGUAGCCAACACCUUGCAUAGUAAAUCUCUUAAAUGUAUUCCUCCUAUAUGAAAUUUUGUAUCUUUUUACAACACCUUGCCAACUUCCUCAUUACACCCUGGAAAUCAUUGUUCUACUGUGUAAUUCUAUGAGAUCGAUUCCUUUAGAUUCCACACAUGAUUGAGAUUAUGCAAUAUUUGCAUGCUGUCCUUAGCUUAUUUCACUUAACAUAAUGUCCUCUGGGUUUGUGUGUCUUAUCACAAAUGACUGGACUUCUACUUGAUGGCUAAAUAGUAUUCCAUUGUGUAUGUACCACAUUUUCCUUACUCAAUAAUCUACUGAUGGACAUGUAGGUUGAUACCAUGUCUGUUAUUGGCAAUAAUGCUGUAGUAAACAUUGAAGUACAGCUGUCUCUUUGACAUGCCAGUUUUAUUUCUCUUGGCUAUGUACCCAGUAGUGGAAUUUGCUGGAUCACACGGUAAUCCUAUUUUGAUUUCUUUGAGGAACCUGUGUUCCAUCAGGACUGAAGUAAUUUAUAUUCCCACCCACAGAGUGUGAGAAUUCCCUUUUCUCCAUAUCCUUACCUGCAUUUGUUACAUUUUGCCUUUGUAGAAUAGCUGUUAGAACACAUGUGAGGUGGCAGCUCCUAUGGUUUUGAUUUGAAUUUACCUGAUGACCAGGAAUGUUGCAUGUUGUUUUCAUGUACCUGGUCAUUGCGUGUCUUCUUUUCUGAGACUUUGUAUUUAGGUCCUUUGCCUAUUUUUCAAUUGGAUCAGUUACUUUCUUGCUAUAGAGUUGUUUGUGUUCCUUACAUAUCCUGAAUAUUAGCCCCUUUUCAGAUAUCUAGACUGUAGUAGUCUAUUUUCUCUAUUUGGCUUUCAAUCUAUUUCUCAUUUUAUGUAUAAUAUUAAUGUUUUAGGGUAUAUUAUCAAGUAUUUAUUUGUUGAAUUAUUUCUUAAUUUAAUUAUGUGGGGUUUUGACAUAUUAUUUUAACAUACAUGUGAUUAUUCAAAAGUGAUAAUGAUUGUGUAUAUAGCAUUAUUAUUCUCAAAUUGUUUAUGAGGAAACAUUCAGACAAGUUGAACAAUCUGCCUAAGUUCCAAAGAGCAAGGCUUUGAUGUAUAUCUUUCUGGCCCUAAAACACAUUCAUUUCCCUAUGUUGAAAUAUUGCCAGACCCAGAAAGUCGUGUGCUGAGAGGAUAUUAACAUGAUGCAUGUGAGAAAGUCACAAAGUUAAAGCCUAAUGAAGAAAGGCCACAUCUGGGAAGUAUAAGAACAAUUUUAGUGAGAACUGAAGAACAUACAUCUCUAGAACAAAGGGCAGUGAUGAGUUGACAAUUACUCUGAGAUUUCCUGUGUUGCUGGCUGCUGAUACAGUGGCAUUACCCAGUGCGACAAAGAAAGCAGGCACAGAGUUCUGUCACUGCGAGAUGAUGAGUGAAUUAUCUUCUCCACAUUUCAUUCCUGCCAUGACAGCAUGUGCAGUUUGAAAUGCCUUUAGUAGGAAACUCUCGCCAAGUUGGGUAGAGAGGCAAAGUUUCCAGCUAGACAAGUAGGUUUGGACAGGUAUCUGUAUACAGAUGGAAGCAGAUGAUGUACCUGCUGCCUGGUGUUUGGCAAAAAGAGUAGAGCACCUAUUAAUUUCCAGAGGAAACUCCAUGGAAGCAGUGUAAGAGGCAAGAGGAAGAUCAGACAAGCCACAGGAGUUUCAUAAUGUAUAGGUUCCUGAGACACCUUGCAUGUCACAAUAUUUCCACAAAACAGGGCAUAUAAGAGGAUAGAUUUUGAAGAGACUAGUUAAAAUUUGCAUAGUUUCAUGAAAAUGUGAACAUUUGUCAUCAAUGCAUUAAGAAAAUCAAUGCUAAUAAAAACAUGAACACUUAAAAGAUAUAAUUAAAAGCUUAAAAGAUAUAAUUUUCUUAUACGUAAAAAGCUACAAAUGUGAAUACCUGAAGGGUACCCAAUUGAAAUAGGUGAAGGUAGAUACAUGGAAAGAUUUCUACAAAAGUUCAUGAUGCUUACUUACUCUGUGCCAGCCCACACCAAAGCUGCUGGAUAAACAAUAGUGCUCAGGUCCCGGGCACACAUUGUGAGAGGCUUGAGAGAUCAGUGGAGUAGACAGAUCAACACGAAAUUAUAAUAUGGUCUGUGUGUGCUCAGUUCUUGAAAAAGUAGGUGCAAGAUGUGCUGGCAUCACUUGAAAGGAACAGGGAUCUGGCCUUGUGGAAAAGUUAGGCUGGUCAAAGACUGCUUUUGAAAAAAGGUGAAGGGGAGCUUCGAAACGGAAGGCAGAGAAUUCUAGACAGGCAGCAGCCUGGACCAAACCGAGAAUGGAAAGAACACUGAAAUGUUACAAAUGUUGAUCUGAACUGGUAUUCCUGAAUUUAAAUUCUCCCACCUGAUAAUUCAAACUUUCAGCCUUCCUUGGUCUGUAUCUUUAUACAUUUUUAUUUGUGGUGCCGGGGUUGAAUUCAGGACCUCUUGCAUGUUGGUAGGUGCUCUACGCUGAGUGAUAUUCCAAACCAUUCCUGUCCCUUUCUAGGUCCUCAAAGCCCUCUUGGCAGGGAGACAGAAAAAGAUGUCACAGGAAAGGCCUAUUUGUUAACCGCUGUGAGCUGGGCGUGACCUGUACCAUUCCUGCCCUCAUCUUGCUGGUCUUUUGUUCCAGGAACACUCCCCAUGGCCAGAGAUACGGGGAAGGUUACAUAGUCUAGCCAUGAACAACUGAAAAUUAAAUAGAUCUUAAUAAACAUACAGCUUUCUCAGUUACACAUACGUAGGGUGAAGUAGAAUUAAACAUGAUCAGCUUCUAGAGUCAAAAUAGGGCCAGUUCAUAAAGGACAUUUUAUUUCACGGUUAGACUCUUUCCCGAGGGAAGGGAUGAUCUAGCUACAAGGAAACAGACAGGAUGCAGGGCUGAGCACGAUGCCUGAGCAUCUGCUGGAAGACUCCCGACUGGAUACUUUAACUGCUAUCAAACUCAUUAUUUUAUGGAAGAAAAAAACUCAGAAAGGAAAUAGGCUGUUCCAUGCUUUGUAUGUCAACCAGUUUCCUCCAGGACUUUUUGAGGCAAACUGCAAAGAUGAUUAGAAAGACAGAAUCUUUUUUUUCCCUCUCUCUUUUAAAAGGAGCUGUGGCAUUUUCAGUCCACAUAAAAAGUCGGUUUUUCAGUCACAGAAUAGUCACUGUUGUCUUGCUGCUCUUGCAAAAAUGGCGCCAUCCGGGCUGGAUAGCACAAUGCCGAUGUUUUGCUGGGUGAUCACUGUGAUUAGGUGUGUACCCCUCACGCCCAUUCCCACAUCUUGCUUUCUGAGGAAAGGAACUAACUCACCACUCCUCCCCACCCCACUGAUGAUAUUAAUAUUUGGUGGUAGCUUUAUUCGAGGAAGGCUUCUUUGGAAGAAGAGCCGGCUGCAUCAUCUCUGCAAGAUGGACAGCACACGAGUUGACUACUCGCAAAGAGAACGGUGUCACUUUAUCUCUGCUAUAUCUCGAGUACCUUGCAAGAGAUCUCAGAGCACAGAAUACCUCAGAGGUGAAGGGGGUCAGUAGAGGAAUUUAUGACCUUUCUAAUUUGACUAUCACCCUUGGGAGAUUUGUGUCGGGAACUCUGACUAAGAGUGCUCUGUGGCAGCAAGCAUUCUCCGAGGGGAACGUGCUUGACGGCAAUGCUUUAGGCUCCUUGUGUGGGUGCCUUGUAGAAGUGAAUGAGAACACCCUGCGAGCACGGCUCUCCGCUUCCUCACGUGUUUCAUCAUAUUAAACAAAUAUUUACUAUUGCCUGUCACGUGCAGGGACUCGUGCAGGCUGGGGAGAUACAUUUUGUUCCUGUUGUCGCAUGAAUUAGAGUCCGAUUGAUGGGGCAAAAUGUUGAAAUAACAUGAAAUGUUAAAGGAAAAUACUAAUUGCCACAUUUGAACGGCUGAUGGAGUGUCAGUGGUUGGCAAAUAGCCAUCUCUCAUCCCACUCGGGGUGUUCCAAAGGAUCAUGGGAGGAAACUUGGGCUCAGUAUGCAAAUGUUUCGAUUGAUUUUUGAUGUUUUCUCCCGGGCAGAGGAGAGCUUGGGUGAGGCUUCUUAGGGACAUUUAUUUAGCUUUAUUAAUUCAACAAAUACUGAGUGGCAAGCCUUAUAAUAGGGAUUUGUGAGCAAAGCACACACCACGAUUGCCUUUGAGGGCCUGCCAUCUUUGUGUACUUUAUUAUUAUUUUUUAAAGUUGACUCGAAAUUAAACUUGGUAAAUGAUGUUCUCAAAUCAAAUUCUCUCUCUCUCUCUCUCUCUCUCUCUCUCUCUCUCACACACACACACACACACACACACACACACACAUACACACACGGAAUGACAAAUACUAUGAAGACAUCCCAAGUGUAUUUGAGUGUGAAUAUUUGGAUGUUUCUGAAGUAGAAUAAGAGAAAUGGUUUGCUAAAGGGAAUGACUUGACUGAAGGUGAAAAAGAGAAAAAUGGGAACAGUAUGCAAGGACCAAGGGAUUGAAAGAGUAUUCAUGCAGAUAAAUCUGCAAAGACUCGACUGAACGUUAGUUACCUUUCAGACAUUAGAGGUUCUUGAAUUCUGAGCAUUUAUUGCUUUCUCCUGGGCUGUGGAGAAAUAUUGAAAUUAUUUGAGGACAGGAGUGAUGUGGACUAAGCCAGACUCUUUGUCUUAUCAAGUCCUAUAAAGGGAGAUGGAGCAUCCUAAAUGUUGCACAUAAAUAUAAUUUACUGACUGCUUCUAAUGGUACCUUGUAUUUCAAAGCUUUUACGACAUGCAGCUACGUUUUGAUAAACUAAAUAUUGCCUGGGCAUACAUAAGUCUGUGUUAUAAUUGACUAUUAUAAAUAAGAUUCACUAUAGUGAAAUGCUGUUAUGACCGUUUGGCAUCUGUUAUUAUUUGGGAAUAAUUUUCAAAUGCACUAUUUUUAUCAAAACAAAUUUUUAAAUGCUUCUUGAAAUACUUGGAUUAUGCAAAGGCACCUCAGGAAAAAUACUUGUAAUAUUCAACUGGAAGUUGAUAGAAACUGACUUUAAAUAUACCUAGAAUCCCUAAUAUAGAAUACUUUUAUUUUCAUAAUAGCUGUAUUCUUGAUCAGUCUAUAAUAACUUGCAAUUGAUAUUAAAAAAUAUAUGUG
This 10530-nucleotide long non-coding RNA is filed under the name Heterocephalus glaber (naked mole-rat). RNAcentral's name for it is "lncRNA (ENSHGLG00100044859.1)". The record is from RNAcentral. Lineage: Eukaryota; Metazoa; Chordata; Mammalia; Rodentia; Bathyergidae.